GUGAAUCCAAAGCGCUUUAGUUCCGAGAAAAUCUCCUCGUCCGUUAACUGCGUUGACGCCAUCUUGUUAAAAAAAAAAUGGAGCCAGCCGUGUGACGGAAAUGACGUAGAGGGAAAUUUCAGACACACAAGAAAAGAGUUUCAAGAAUGAAGAGCUGGACAGCACCAGGCUGCUACAUGAUCUACACCUACUGGCCAAAGAAGCUAACUGCACUCCAUGGACGUCUAGCAGCAGAAAUGAACUAGCUGCUAAAGGAUGGGAAACUGUGGGACCAAGUCCAGACUGAUAAAAUAGUGGUGGUCAAUUAAUCAGAUAUUGUGAUGGUUGAUAAACUGCAAAAGAAGCAGUAGCGACAGAUGUAGCAAUCCCAAGUGACAGCAACAUCAAGAGGAAAGAGCAUGAAAAGCUUGAAAAAGGUGAUCUAUAUGUCAGGGUAGAGACUGCGAUUUGGUAGAAUUGGAGUUUCUACCAGUAGAGUUUGCGAUUGUAAUCUCUACCAGUAGAGAUGGAACUUUAAAUCUGACCCCUGCCCUGACCCCUGACCCUAAGCUUAACUAACCCUGACCUUUAAAUCCGACCCCUGCCCUGACCCCUGCCCCUAACCUUAACUGACCCUGACCUUUUAAUCUAACCCCUGCCCUGACCCCUGACCCUAACCUUAACUGACCCUGACCUUUUAAUCUAACCCCUGCCCUGACCCUAACCUUAAAAGUCUAACCUUAGCCCUGACAAAUCUCUACUGGUAGGAUUGGAGUUUCUACUGGAAGAGAUUGCGAUCGCAAUCUCUACUGGUAGAGACUCCAAUUCUACCAAAUCGCAGUCUCUACCAUGAUAUAUAUAUGUCAGGGUAGAGACUGCGAUUUGGUAGAGUGGUGUAAUGUGAUGACUGGAAAGUGAUAGAAUUUUGAAUCAUUUGACAUUUAAGUGAUCUUGUACAUGAAUAGACUCACGCCUGUAGUGUACUGUAGAUGACAUCAGGGGUGUAGUACAAAAUUCAUAGAAAUACAUAAGCAAUAUGGCACCCUUCCUGUUUUCAUCUAUCACUCAUGUAUCUUUUGGAAUGUUUUUAUGUUUUUUAAAUAAGUAAUUAAACUAUGCACAUUCA
Acanthochromis polyacanthus (spiny chromis) is the source of this 1105-nucleotide long non-coding RNA. RefSeq lists it as uncharacterized. The record is from RefSeq and is a predicted model, not a curated record. Lineage: Eukaryota; Metazoa; Chordata; Actinopteri; Pomacentridae. The transcript is spliced from 2 exons.